Long non-coding RNA from Anthonomus grandis grandis, 1000 nucleotides. RefSeq lists it as uncharacterized. Lineage: Eukaryota; Metazoa; Arthropoda; Insecta; Coleoptera; Curculionidae. The transcript is spliced from 3 exons. The record is from RefSeq and is a predicted model, not a curated record.
CGUGCUCCGCUUUUUAAAUUCUGUUCGGCCUGUUUAGUGUUCUGUAUAGUCUUAAGUGUGUCUAAAUGUUAUGUAUAAUUUUAGUAAUAUCAAAUGUGGUCCCACUAUGUUAAACUUCUGGGCUUAACUGACAAGUAAACUACUGCCGAAAAUCAUCACCACCACAAAAAUUACGCUGGGCGACCCGAGGAGGAAGAGGAGAGAAGUUCAGUGACAGCGUGACUGGGUCAUGGAUGGCGCGCGUCCCGACGCGUACGCGAUGCCUUCCCCCACUACUGUUGUAACACGUUUUUAAAUAAGGUGCGACCGUGGUACGCUCAUUCGCUGUCUACGCGUGUUUGCAGCAUGUUCGGUAGUUUAGACCCAACAGGGCUUUACUAAGCGCUCAUUCUGUCAUCUUUCGAUCGCGCUCUUCAUAGAUACAUAAAUUUAUAUUUUUUUGUCCUGCUUGCCAUCAGGAACAAUUUUGAUUUUUCAAAACAAUCGUCACAAUGAAUAGCAAAAGUUUAGAUCCCACUGGCCAAUAUUAAGGCUUGGGGUAAAAGUGAUUAUCAAGUGAACUUUUGUCAAGAAAAGACUAUUGCAAAAGUCAUGGCGAAAGUUGGUGGUAAAGGGUUAGAUCCAACGGGACUAUACUGAUGUGGCACCAUCGGCAAAAAGGCGACGGUGGGCGCCCGGAAACAUCCAGUUGUCGGCGCAAAAGACUUCGAUGAAGGGAACAAAGAGCCAAAAGUAACUACACUGCCACACAAGUUACCGAUUUAAUCUGGAUGUUUGAAGACUGAUGUUUUGUUGAUUUUAUAAUUUAUAAGAUUGUUUUUGAUUAAAUUAUAUGUGUAGGUUAAGUUCCUUUUACGAUUAAGCAUGCAACACCUAAUAAUGUCGUUGACUUAUCUAUGUCCUUGUAAAUACGUUAGGCUUAAAUAUCCUCUUAAAGUAUUUCUAAAGCUUAGUACUUAAAUUAAUAUUUUAUCACUUUUUUAAAUAAAUGUUUAAAUUA